Molecule: unclassified non-coding RNA, 18 nt
Filed under: Mus musculus (house mouse)
Lineage: Eukaryota; Metazoa; Chordata; Mammalia; Rodentia; Muridae
Description: oocyte_clustered_small_RNA416
Source: RNAcentral
CCGGCGCGAGCGAGCACG